GACGAACGCUGGCGGCGUGCUUAACACAUGCAAGUCGAACGGAGCGAAUGAAAGCUUGCUUUUAUGAGCUUAGUGGCAAACGGGUGAGUAACACGUAGACAACCUGCCGACAGGAUGGGGACAACAUUCCGAAAGGAAUGCUAAUACCGAAUGAAGCGGAGGAGAGGCAUCUCUCCUCCGUGAAAGAUGGCCUCUGAACAUGCUAUCACCGUCGAUGGGUCUGCGUCUGAUUAGCUGGUUGGUGAGGUAACAGCUCACCAAGGCGACGAUCAGUAGCCGGUCUGAGAGGAUGAACGGCCACAUUGGGACUGAGACACGGCCCAGACUCCUACGGGAGGCAGCAGUGGGGAAUCUUCUCGCAAUGGGCGCAAGCCUGACGGAGCAACGCCGCGUGAGUGAAGAAGGUCUUCGGAUCGUAAAGCUCUGUUGACGGGGACGAACGUGCGAAGGGUGAAUAAUCCCUUGCAAAGACGGACCCUCGAAGAGCC
RNAcentral lists this ribosomal RNA (488 nucleotides) under Centipeda dianae. Its description in RNAcentral is "bacterial SSU rRNA". It matches the Rfam family "Bacterial small subunit ribosomal RNA", at positions 28 to 492 of the family's 1533-position model. Lineage: Bacteria; Bacillati; Bacillota; Negativicutes; Selenomonadales; Selenomonadaceae. The record is from RNAcentral.